CUGGUUUCCGAUCCCCAAGUGGUCGCCUAUAGAAGGAAAUGCAUUGUUUUGUUCUUGUUCUCCAAGGGAGGUGGCUUAGCGAAACGAGGCAGGAAUUUUUGAAUGUGAUGUUGAAAAUAAAAAGAAGAGAUUGGAUGAUUGCCCGGUUCGUUCACUUCGUUUACUGCUCCGCUCAUGCGAUAUGCUUGAGAGCAGGUUGUUUACGUACUUGCUCUUACAAGCAAGGUUGAGCAAGUAGUGAUCUCGGGUAAAGUAGUCAGAAGAGUUCGCUAAGAAGACAGGUCCAACUUUUCAUUGACUAGCUAGCAAAAAGCGCUAGUCCGGUAAAAGCAAUAAGAGCAUUGAGGGUGAUCUACGAUCAGGGAGUGAAAAGGCUAAAGCUAAAGCAGCAGGAGAUGGAUGGGGCGAUCAACCCCACUAGAAGGUUAUUCUCGGUUAGGGGGAAAGGAAGAAAGAAAAAUAAAGCAAUCACUCUGCGGUGUAAGUAAAGCCCUCCGGUAGGUAGUUCUUCUUCCGUUGCUACAAGCGUGAAAUCGCCAAGGAACUCAACUCAAUUGCUCAGUCUCUAGGAAUUCAGCGAAGAAAGAAGCCUACUCUGUACUAUCACUGGCCAACGAGCGGGGAAAGCAUUGAUUUGUUUCCAGGCGCUAUCCGCCUUGCCUUACAGGACAAUGUCGGUUGAAGGUAUGAGUCAGGAUGGGAUAGAAGAGCAAAGCCGCUUGCCCAAUAGGUGACGGAGUGAACCCGCCCUUUCUUCAGGGUCAAGAAGAAGAGCAAGGAGGUCCCACUAUCUUAUAUAGGGAGCAGGCCACCUAAAAGAAGGUCUGAUUGAGCACUUUCUUCACCCGAUCUUAUGUCUGCAAGAUAAAGAUCAGACAUCACAUUACUUCCGCUAUUUGCAGAGAUGUCUUUGAAGGCAGGUGCCAAGUAAUAUGCGAAGUCCGGGUAUGAAAGCACAAUAGAACUCGCGGGAAAAGAACUUGACUUUCUUUCUUUCAUGGAUAGCAUUUUACGUCCAGUUUUGAAGGCAAAAAAAGUAAC
This 1041-nucleotide long non-coding RNA is filed under the name Panax ginseng (ginseng). RNAcentral's name for it is "long non-coding RNA (PGIN_LNC002991)". The record is from RNAcentral. Lineage: Eukaryota; Viridiplantae; Streptophyta; Magnoliopsida; Apiales; Araliaceae.